This 337-nucleotide unclassified non-coding RNA is filed under the name soil metagenome. RNAcentral describes it as "partial contains 5.8S ribosomal RNA, internal transcribed spacer 2, and large subunit ribosomal RNA". The stretch from base 1 to 120 matches the Rfam family "5.8S ribosomal RNA", at positions 35 to 154 of the family's 154-position model. The record is from RNAcentral.
GAUGAAGAACGUAGCGAAAUGCGAUAAGUAGUGUGAAUUGCAGAAUUCAGUGAAUCAUCGAAUCUUUGAACGCACAUUGCGCCCCAUGGUAUUCCGUGGGGCAUGCCCGUUCGAGCGUCAUUUACCCCCUCAAGCUCCGCUUGGUGUCGGGCGUCUGUCCCGCUUCGCGCGCGGACUCGCCCCAAAGGUAUUGGCAGCGGUCGUGCCAGCUUCUCGCGCAGCACAUUGCGCUUCUCGAGGCACCGGUGGGCCCGCGUCCAUCAAGCUCACCCCCCCAGUUUGACCUCGGAUCAGGUAGGGAUACCCGCUGAACUUAAGCAUAUCAAUAAGCGGAGGA